AUGGCUCCCAUUCUCAUCAACGACCUUGUCAAAGGAAACCAAGUGUGGAAGAGGUAUAUCAGGGUUGUUGACCUAUGUGUUGUUAAGGAGAAAACAGGCACAGAACAUCUAGAAAUGGUCAUACAAAAUGGAAAGAGCGAUCAAAUUCACGUCACCACUAGGAGUCGAUACUUUAAAGAUUGGAGUGACCAACUUAAAGAACAUGAAACAUAUUAUCUUUAUAAUGAGGGACUACCGUGA
Molecule: non-coding RNA, 240 nt
Organism: Vicia faba (fava bean)
Lineage: Eukaryota; Viridiplantae; Streptophyta; Magnoliopsida; Fabales; Fabaceae
Source: the annotation of a GenBank genome assembly